AUGUCUCCCCGCGGCGCGGCGCGGUGCGGUGCGGGGCUGGGUCCCCCCGAGGCGGGCGGCUGUGCCCCGGCCGGCCGGUCGGUGGGUGGGUCGGUGGGUGCCCGCGCGUCCCCGGCGGCAGCGGGCUCACACCAUGUCGCGGCGGCGGCGGCAGGAGCGGCGCCGGGGCCGGCAGCCUCUGGCAGCCUCACGGUGCGCCCCGCGCCCGGGCAUGGCACGGCACGGCCCGGCCCGGCGGGGCGGCGCUCACGCCGGGAGCCGGCAGCGGCAGCCGCGGCCCCGCUCUCGCAUGGAGGGGCUCACGCCCAGCGCCGCGGCGGAGCCCCCGCCGCCUCCAAGCCCUUCCCGCGGCGCUGCCCUCGCAUGAAACGGCGCCGGGCACCGGCGGGCAGGGGCUGCGCGUCCCGGCGGCGGCGGGGCACGGGCGCGGGGCUGGAGCUGGGUGCUGCGAGCCAGACAAAGAUAGCCGGGGAGGGGGAGGAGGAGGAGGAGGAGGAGGAGAAAAGGGAUACAAAAUAUACUGAGAGCGGGGAGGGAGAGAGAGAAAACAGCUCCCCCUUCCCUUCUCCAACAGGAAAAACCGGCGGAAACGCGCCCGCACCAAAGCACUGCUGGAGACCCCAGGCCCACAGGAAAAACGUGCCUGCCCCAUCAGAGACCUCUGCAGAAACGGAGGCAGAUGCUGGCCUCCAGAACCAGACCCAACACUCAGGUCAUGUUAAUACAUCAUCUACUAACAGCCAGAACUGUCUCAGGCUCGUUCCUGCUCCAAAGCAUCCUUCAGCAGAACCUGAAUCGUGGAAAACGCCCAUUAACCCCUCCCGAGCUAGUCACAUCAGGCAGUUGCACGCAGGUGUAAACCUUGGCAGGAUUUGUCUCUCAUUGAAGUUCUUUAUCACACCGAUACGGCAAAAAUGUUACCUGCUUGCAAAAGGUCGAGUUACGUUUCCUGUGGGAACCAAGGUUUUCCUGUCUCUUCUACUUUAACCACAAAAUUACAUAUACAUAGCUAUAAGUAUCACAGAAACAUACUUUUGAAACAAAGCAAACCUGUUGA
RNAcentral lists this long non-coding RNA (1057 nucleotides) under Falco tinnunculus (common kestrel). RNAcentral describes it as "lncRNA (ENSFTIG00000012648.1)". The record is from RNAcentral. Lineage: Eukaryota; Metazoa; Chordata; Aves; Falconiformes; Falconidae.